UAUAUAUAUAUAGAGUGAGGCUACUAUGCUAUCGGAAGCACGGAGCCUUCCGUGCUUCCAGCUCGUUUUCGAUGUUGCGAUUUUCGAAUCGUCGAUCGGCUCCGUUCAACUUGAUCUAGAGUAUUUGGAGUACCUAGAAAAUAAAUUUUAUUAUUUUUCGAUAUCAUUUGCCUAGUGAUCGAAUGGGCUCAAAAUCAACAAAUUUCAAUGGC
RNAcentral lists this long non-coding RNA (212 nucleotides) under Ananas comosus (pineapple). RNAcentral describes it as "long non-coding RNA (ACOM_LNC008702)". Lineage: Eukaryota; Viridiplantae; Streptophyta; Magnoliopsida; Poales; Bromeliaceae. The record is from RNAcentral.